RNAcentral lists this ribosomal RNA (515 nucleotides) under Nesorthomorpha montana. RNAcentral's name for it is "partial 16S ribosomal RNA". It matches the Rfam family "Archaeal large subunit ribosomal RNA", at positions 1890 to 2651 of the family's 2987-position model. The record is from RNAcentral. Lineage: Eukaryota; Metazoa; Arthropoda; Diplopoda; Polydesmida; Paradoxosomatidae.
GACUGUUUUAGCAAAGACAUUGCUUAUUGGAAAAAAAUAAUAAGUAAUUUCUGCCCACUACAAUUAGUGCAAAGGGCUGCAGUAUUUUGACUGUAUUAAGGUAGCAUAAUCAUUAGCCUUUUAAUUGGGGGCUGGUAUGAAGAGAAAACGGGGAGAAAGUUUAUUUUUUUGGUAUUUUGAAUUUAAUUUCUAUGUGAAAAAUCAUAGAAGUGGCUGAGGGACAAGAAGACCCUAAUAAGUUUAAUUUUUGUUUAGUAAAAAGUAUAAAGGAUAAAAUUAAUAAAGAUUAAUAUAAUUUAUUUUCAAAAGUUUGUCUGGGGCAGAAAAUAUAUCAUUAAUAUUUAAUAUGUAAUUUUAUGUGAAGCGCGAAGAAGACCUGACUAGGUCAGUUGCAGGAAAAAUUACUUUAGGGAUAACAGCGUUAUUAUUUCUGAGAGUUCUUAUUGAUGAAGUAGUUUGCGACCUCGAUGUUGGAUUAAGAUGGAGACAUUGGCGCAGUAGUUGAUGGAUUGGUC